GGGGAUUUAGCUCACUGGUAGAGCGCUUGCCUAGCAAGCACAAGGCCCUGGGUUCGGUCCCCAGCUCCA
RNAcentral lists this transfer RNA (69 nucleotides) under Rattus norvegicus (Norway rat). It matches the Rfam family "tRNA". Rfam says of the family: Transfer RNA (tRNA) molecules are approximately 80 nucleotides in length. Lineage: Eukaryota; Metazoa; Chordata; Mammalia; Rodentia; Muridae. The record is from Rfam by way of RNAcentral.